GAGCCAGGCCGGCUGUGCUGCGGGGCUUUACAGCGGCCCGAGGGAAGGGUGCGUGUGAGGAGCCGUGCCCGGCCUUUCCCCGUGUCAGAGCCGUGCCCGGUGCCCGGCUGGGUGCUGCUGCUGCGUGGGGCAGUGCUCGCACCCCGGCGGCUCCCCGUGGGCCCCUCCCUCCAUGCUUGCCCUUCCCGGAGGUGCGGGAGCCCCUUCAGCAGGCGCUGACCCCCACACGGUGUGCCACGGCGCGGGGUGAGGCGGCUGUGUUGGAAAUGCCUCUCCUCUCAGGCGCUGUCUGAAAAGAAGCUUUGAAGGGCGUAACGGGAUCUGGUGGCGAAGUUUGGGCCGAAGCACUGACCUGGCAGUGACCUCAGCCCGUGCUCCUUUCGCAGAAGGAAUAAGUUGCUGGAGAAUGCCCUCAGGGCUGUGCCUCGCUGGCAGUUAGGCUCGUGUUGGGGCCGCUCCUUUGGGGUACAAAUAGCAGAUGCCCUUUGGUGAAAGGUAAGGGAUGGCAGCUCUUCCCUCUUGGCUGUUAUUUGACCCCAGAGACCUCCUUCUGCUUAUCCCCUCCGUAAGUUUCACAUUUGGCGCUGCUGUUCUGCUUUCAUUCUCAACAGCAGCGGGAUUGCAUGCUUUCCCAUUGAUCAGACUGCUGGUGGGGCCGUACGGUGGGUUAAGAGAGCAGGCCUGUUCAGCUGUGCCAAAGAAUGCCUGCUUCUGAGCACCACGUUGGCCUUCAGGAGUCCCAUUUGUCCGGUAACAUCAAGCCAUCAGCACUGCGGAUGUUAGUGGACGUGAACUAAGAUCAGUGUAAUAAAGGAGUGUGAAAUGCACCUGCUUCACACAGGGCUGUGCUUUACCAGACCCUCACACUCGUGUGUCCUUCCUUAGGACUUGUGAGCAUGGAAAAGUUGGGAGCGAAGGACACAGCAAGCCAGCAGUGUGCGUGUGAGUUUCCCUGUGGCAAAGCUGAUGCAUAGCAUUGCUUUGUGGGAAGUAGUGAAGUGUGUGAGCUCGGUCACAUGAGGGGGAAUGGUGGUGUUUUCCAUCGGUGUGAGACGCCUGCAGAAUGGGUUGCUAUGAAGUGCUGCAGAAGUUGUGAGCGCUGCACAGCGGCGCUUCUCGCUCUGGUUUGCCUCGCGUUGACCUCGAGUGGGGUUUUGUCAUCGAAACUGAUGGAGUCUCAUCCAGAACUUAGUUAAAAGCAAACCAAAGCUAACAUCUACCCACUGAAAGCGCAGGCAGUGCGUUGAUAAGAGUGGCUUUGACAGUCUGCUUGCAAUCACAGCCAAGGACAAGCUUGAUCCCAGCGCUGGGGUGCAGUAAGCAGAAUGCUUUUGUUUGCUUUGCUUGGCCUUUGUGAGGACUGCGCUUCCAAAGUUUGGAUGGGAGAGUGUUGCCCAUGCUUUAGAGCCCAUCUAACCCUGGUGUUUGGUGGUACCAUCUCGGGCAGGUUGGUGACUGCGGGGAUCAAACGUAGCACUUCUGCCUUCUGACCCAUCACACUGUAUUGCUGAUGGGAGGUUUAGGUUGGAUAUUAGGAGGAGGUUUGUCACUCAGAGGGUGGUGACGCACUGAACAGGUUGCCCAAGGAGGCUGUGGAUGCCCCAUCCCUGCAGGCAUUCAAGGCCAGGCUGGAUAUGGCUCUGGGCAGCCUGGGCUGCUGGUUGGCGACCCUGCACAUAGCAGGGGGUUGAGACUCAAUGAUCAUUGUGGUCCUUUUCAGCCCAGGCCAUCCUAUGAUUCUAAAGCCUGGCUGUGUGCAGGAUGAGAGCAGGCUUCCCUUGCUGUACAUAAUGUGAGUUGUAAGGGGAAAGCCUUCUGACUGCAGACUGAAUGCCAGCCUUUCCCCCAAACUGCACGUUUGCACUGCUUUAAAACCUAAAUGUGUUUUUUCGUUCAAAAAGCAGGUGCCCCAAAUGGCACCCUUUCCAAGCUCUGUGCUGCUGCUCAGGCUUUCCCAAGCUGCUGCAGGGUGACACUAGCAAGGUCCUGUUUCAUUUCACUGUUCUCAAACUCUGCUCCCAGCCCUGUGAAACCAGAGGGGCAGCAGGAAUGCUUUUCCUCCCCUUGGCCUGUGGGCUCACCCAUGCUUCUUGCUUCAGCUCUGUGUUCUUUUGGAGCAGCACAUGGGGCCGUUUCCUUCGUGAACAACACAGCAUGCUGAGCAGAACGGUGCGUUUUGGAGUCGUGGUUCAGAAGGUAUUUGCAGGCAGUGGUGAUUCAUGAUGAAUAAUAGAACCCCUGUGAUAACUGCCAGCCCAGUUUCUCAGCAUACUUGGGAUGUAUCUCAUUCUUCUGGGCUGGUCUAGGAAAAGCUGAUUUCAUUCACAAAGCUUAGAUAAUCACAGAGCGUGGGCGGAGGGGUUAAAACUGCAGUGAUUGCCUCAUGUGCUCGUGGUUACAUUGGUAAAUCCAUCUUCUUUUUAAUGAUGAUGAGUGAACAAAGGUGAAGAUUAACGCUCCCUUUUUGAUGGGCUCUAAUAAGGAAGGUUCCGACAAGUGCAAGAUGCUGCUUUGGUCCUUCUGGAUUGCUGCUCUUUGUAGGCUUUCCAGACUCCUUCUCGGUGUAGGGUUUCUGUUUUGGCAGUGGGUUUGGUGGUGCUCAGCCCUGGGCGAUGCAGCUGUAUGACAGUGGCCCCUCUGGAUGGGGUGCUGUGUCCUGCAGCGCUCCUCUGGGAGCCCUAGGAAGGAGCUGUGUGUCUGUACCAGCUGCACAAGGGUAAAUAUUUGUGAGAUCAGGCCCUUGGUUACAGCAGAUUAACGUUUAUUUAAAUAUUUGGGGUAUUUAUAAACGCCGUGGAGGUGGCUUCUGGGUAAUAAGCAAAUGACUGCUCAGAGCAGAACCACCCUGGUGGCAUUUACUUCCUUUGUCUUUCUGCAACCCUGUGCAAUCAGGACGCCGUGCGUUUCCUCUGCGAGGAGGGGAAGGCUUCACUGCAAUGCAAAGGGCACAGCGUGAGCAGGAGCUUCUGCAAGGGGUUGGGAUGAGGCCUGCUCCUGGUUCACGCAUGGUUUGCUUUUCUGGCCGAUGGUCAGCAGGAUUUUCUCCUCCCAGGAGGCAGCAGUCCCUUCCCAGACCUCAACCCCAGUGUUCCGAUGCAGCGGUGCAGAGCGUUCACCACGUGCUCAGCCCUGGACCUGCAUGUGGGAGAGGUGUGGGCCUUUAUGGGGUGCUGCGGUACAGGAGAGUAGGACGGGAGCUGCCUGUGAGGCGGCAGUGCUCGGCACCUGUUCUUAAGGCUUCGCUUCUGCAUGGCAGGCGGCUGCUGCUCCAUCGCUGUGGAGCUGUGGCUCUGAGAUGGCUGCUGGCUUGGAGGUUUCGGUUCUGCAUGGUAAGGUGUGCUGCACAGGGUGGGAGGGACAGCACAAGCAGAUCUCUGUGCUAGAAAUCAUUACUUCAUACUCCACCAAACCUGAGCCGUGGGCCGAUCGCUUUGGUGUCUGCUGGGAAGUCCUCAGGAAGAGCUGAGCUCUUCUCUUGCGUUGUCUGCUGCAGCCAGAGGACCUUCCUCGUGGAAGGCACUCAUUGAACGUGCACGGGGAUGCAUUCAUUUGGCCAGUCUCCAUAGGAAGCCAAGACCCUCUUCUUGCCACACGUGGGUCUGAAUGGUAGCAUUCCUCCCAGCGUGGUCUUCAGGUGGAGGAGGGCAGCGGGGAGGGCUGUUGCUCUGCGCUCACCCUGCAGUUUGGCUGUGCUCUUUAGGACUCUGGUCCAUACCUUCCAAUGCUGGGGCGGCUCUCGGUGUCGGUUCUGUGUCCUGUUUGCUUGCUGAUAUUUCCUGUGAUGUUCCGGAACAACGUUACCAGCUCCCAUUCCUCCUCAUCAGACUGGGCUAAUGACUCUGACCUUUUGUUUGUAAAGCAGAAGGAAAAGGCUCAACAAAAUACUGGAGCUUAUUUACUAUCAUUACCGCAAUGAUGAGCAACGCCACUUUGCGGUGCUUCAAAGAGGCUUCGUUUAUAAGAUGCUGGAAAUCCCGAGAGAGAGAGAGAGAGAGAAAACGUUUCAGAUGGAGGAGGAGGAGGGGGAAGGUUCCUCCCGGCCCAGUGCUGUUAGCAUACAUGAGGUAAUGCCUGCAGCCCUCGCCCUUCCAUCUGGCUCAGUGCAAGAGCCGCUCGCAGCCUUUGCUUCCCUGUGCAGCAUCCAGGCUGGUCGGUGUCACUGCAUGGGAGAGAGCUCUGCCUAAACAUGCUCUCACACUGCACGCUUUUGCAGAGCGCUCUGUUGACCUCUCCUAUUACCCCUAAUAAGAUUGAACGUGGUUUUAAUUUCUCGUUUCCUCUUUCACUGGAUGCCCUUUCCU
RNAcentral lists this long non-coding RNA (4301 nucleotides) under Gallus gallus (chicken). The record is from RNAcentral. Lineage: Eukaryota; Metazoa; Chordata; Aves; Galliformes; Phasianidae.